CCUACGGGUGGCAGCAGUGGGGAAUAUUGGACAAUGGGCGAAAGCCUGAUCCAGCCAUGCCGCGUGUGUGAAGAAGGCCUUCGGGUUGUAAAGCACUUUCAGUGGGGAAGAAAGCCUUGGGGCUAAUACCCUCGAGGAAGGACAUCACCCACAGAAGAAGCACCGGCUAACUCCGUGCCAGCAGCCGCGGUAAUACGGAGGGUGCGAGCGUUAAUCGGAAUUACUGGGUGUAAAGCGCGCGUAGGCGGUCUGAUAAGCCGGUUGUGAAAGCCCCGGGCUCAACCUGGGAACGGCAUCCGGAACUGUCAGGCUAGAGUGCAGGCGAGGAAGGUAGAUUUCCCGGUGUAGCGGUGGAAUGCGUAGAGAUCGGGAGGAAAACCAGUGGCGAAGGCGGCCGUCUGGACUGACACUGACGCUGAUGUGCGAAAGCGUGGGUAGCAAACAGGAGUAGAUUACCCGAGUAGUC
RNAcentral lists this ribosomal RNA (466 nucleotides) under Vreelandella stevensii. RNAcentral's name for it is "partial 16S ribosomal RNA". It matches the Rfam family "Bacterial small subunit ribosomal RNA", at positions 338 to 795 of the family's 1533-position model. The record is from RNAcentral. Lineage: Bacteria; Pseudomonadati; Pseudomonadota; Gammaproteobacteria; Oceanospirillales; Halomonadaceae.